This 229-nucleotide unclassified non-coding RNA is filed under the name plant metagenome. RNAcentral's name for it is "partial contains small subunit ribosomal RNA, internal transcribed spacer 1, and 5.8S ribosomal RNA". The record is from RNAcentral.
GCUCCGUAGGUGAACCUGCGGAGGGAUCAUUACAGAGUUCUCACCCUCGCGGGUAGAUCUCCCACCCACUGUUAUCGUUACUGUGUUGCUUUGGCGGGCCGCCGGGCCCCGCUCGGCCGCCGGCUCCGGCUGGCGCGCGCCCGCCAGACGACCAGCAAACUAUGAAUGUUAGUGUCGUCUGAGUACUAUAUAAUAGUUAAAACUUUCAACAACGGAUCUCUUGGUUCUG